GCCAGGUGUGGUGGUGUGCACCUGUGGUCCUAGCCAUUGAGGAGGCUGAGAUGGGAGGAUUGCUUGAGCCCAGGAGUUCUCGGCUGCAGUGAGUUGUGAUCCCACCACUGCACUCCAGCCUGGGUGACAGAGUAAGAUCUUGACUCUG
Molecule: unclassified non-coding RNA, 148 nt
Organism: Macaca mulatta (Rhesus monkey)
Lineage: Eukaryota; Metazoa; Chordata; Mammalia; Primates; Cercopithecidae
Rfam family: Metazoan signal recognition particle RNA
About the family: The signal recognition particle (SRP) is a universally conserved ribonucleoprotein. It is involved in the co-translational targeting of proteins to membranes. The eukaryotic SRP consists of a 300-nucleotide 7S RNA and six proteins: SRPs 72, 68, 54, 19, 14, and 9.
Source: Ensembl